RNAcentral lists this ribosomal RNA (541 nucleotides) under uncultured bacterium. Its description in RNAcentral is "bacterial SSU rRNA". It matches the Rfam family "Bacterial small subunit ribosomal RNA", at positions 355 to 896 of the family's 1533-position model. The record is from RNAcentral.
UAGGGAAUAUUGGGCAAUGGGCGAGAGCCUGACCCAGCCAUGCCGCGUGCAGGAAGAAGGCUUUCUGAGUCGUAAACUGCUUUUGACAGGGAAGAAUAAGACCUACGUGUAGUGCGAUGACGGUACCUGCAGAAUAAGCACCGGCUAACUCCGUGCCAGCAGCCGCGGUAAUACGGAGGGUGCGAGCGUUGUCCGGAUUUAUUGGGUUUAAAGGGUGCGUAGGCGGCCGUUUAAGUCUGGGGUGAAAGCCCGCUGCUCAACAGCGGAACUGCCCUGGAUACUGGAUGGCUUGAGUACAGACGAGGUUGGCGGAAUGGACUGAGUAGCGGUGAAAUGCAUAGAUACAGUCCAGAACCCCGAUUGCGAAGGCAGCUGACUAGGCUGUUACUGACGCUGAGGCACGAAAGCGUGGGGGGCGAACAGGAUUAGAUACCCUGGUAGUCCACGCCGUAAACGAUGGAUACUCGCUGCGAGCUAAAGAUUGUUCGUGGCUUAGGGAAACCGAUAAGUAUCCCACCUGGGGAGUACGCUCGCAAGAGUG